Molecule: ribosomal RNA, 776 nt
Filed under: uncultured Neocallimastigales
Lineage: Eukaryota; Fungi; Neocallimastigomycota; Neocallimastigomycetes; Neocallimastigales
Description: partial large subunit ribosomal RNA
Rfam family: Eukaryotic large subunit ribosomal RNA
Source: RNAcentral
GUAGUCUCGCACAGAUGCAUAUCAAUAAGCGGAGGAAAAGAAACUAACAAGGAUUCCCUUAGUAACGGCGAGUGAAGCGGGAAGAGCUCAAAUUUGAAAUCUUCAAGGUUUUACCUUGACGAAUUGUAGUUUAAAGAAGUGUUUUCUGUUGAAGUUUUGGUAAAAGUUCUUUGGAAUAGGACAUCAUAGAGGGUGAGAAUCCCGUAUUUGACCAUUAUAUUUCAGCUGUGUGAUACACUUUCAAAGAGUCGGAUUGUUUGGGAACUGCAGUCCAAAAUGGGUGGUAAAUUUCAUCUAAAGCUAAAUAUUGGCGAGAGACCGAUAGCGAACAAGUACCGUGAGGGAAAGAUGAAAAGAACUUUGAAAAGAGAGUUAAACAGUACGUGAAAUUGUCAAAAGGGAAGCGUUUGACACCAGUGUUGUUUUCUCGAAAGUCAAUUAAAAAGAGUUAGAUUUUGUUGUGUAUUGACCUUAACAGCUUGCAUUUCAAUUUUCUUGCUUUUUUUAAUGCACUUUUCGUUUAACAAGUCAACAUCAGUUUCUUUUGUUGUAAAAAGGUCAUUGGAAGGUGGCUUUCUUUUCGGAGAAAGUGUUUAUAGCCUUUGACUCCUGCAAUCGGAGAGACUGAGGUCUGCAGCGUAGAUCCUUCGGGGUUAGAUACAUUUGUGCUAAGUUAUAGCUUUUUAUAGACAACUUGUUGACUAUGAUUAGUCUUGUAGCUUACUCGCUUGUGCUAUUUUACCUACGCUUAGGAUGUUGAGCGCAUGUCUCUCUCU